Molecule: long non-coding RNA, 1123 nt
Organism: Neofelis nebulosa (Clouded leopard)
Lineage: Eukaryota; Metazoa; Chordata; Mammalia; Carnivora; Felidae
Exons: 3
Source: RefSeq, a predicted model, not a curated record
CUUCGGGGAUACGACUGUGAAUGGGACAAAAGCCCACCCCUAAGAUGCUUAGUCUGAUUAGGGAGACAGGUCACUGCCAUAUGGAAUGUUAAACGUUGUAAUGAGCACAUAUAGAAGGAGCUCCAACUCAGCCUGGGGCAGGGGAAGAAUUUCAAGCCGAGAAGACAGGUUGGGAGUUUGGAAAGGCACCACACGCCCCAGCGCACUGUCUAUGGGCAAAAUGAAACCAGAGCACUCAACCUCUCAGCACAACAGCUUUCGGCCACUCACCUAAGAAGCAAAGCAGUUGGUGGGGAGCUGUGACCAGACCAGCUGACAGUGCUAAUUAAAACAUCCAACCCAUGUGUAUGCAAAUCCAGAAACAGCGUGUCAGGGAAGAUAACUCCUGAUCCGAACUCAUCCCCAGAGCUUUUCCUGAGCCCAGCUGUUGAGAGGCAAUCUGCAGCACGGCCACUUGAUAAAAUUAUUUCUGUUUGGUUCUCGAUCGCUAUCACUCCCACAGUUCAGCCUGCUUUGCCCAUGUUCGAGCGAGUCAGCCCAGGACCGAUAAAUCACGGGAGUCCACAGUUUUGUUCUACAGCCUCCUCGAUUCACUUAACUAUUUAAGAAACGCCUACUAUGUGCGGCCCUUCUGCUAGAUGCCGGGAAUACAGAAAUGGACAGACUCUGGCACACGAUAUUUUGAAGCUAGCGGGAGAAAGUCAAAUAAAAAGAGAAGUUGUAAUCAGAGAUAUGAAAUGGCCAGUUGUUGUUGGAGCAGGGGAAGAUACUGACCAGCAUUCUUGGGAAAUCAGGCAAGUUUCUUAUUGGCGGAACUUUUAGAAAACGGCGAGUGGUGAAGUUUGCCGGGGGGCAGGGGGAAGAUUGCCCCGACAAAGCCUGCUUGGCUGUUAAAGGGCAGCGCUUGGAUACCCGUGAGAAGCUCCCUAUGGCUGCAGCAAGAGGCGUGAGGGGUGCAGAGCCGGAGAUGAGGCGGGUACGAUAUUGGCAGGACCCGCUUCCGCACAGUGAGGUGCCACCUGAGAGGGGACAAGGGGAGGGGAAAGAUCGGUCCCUGAGAUGGCAUGUGCCAGCACGAGCCAGAUACUCCGCACGCGCCAUCUCCUCCGACCCACCCCUGUGA